UACAAUGGCAGGUACAGAGGGGUGCUACCGGGUGACCGGAUGCCGAUCUCGAAAACCUGUCCCAGUUCGGACUGGAGUCUGCAACCCGACUCCACGAAGUUGGAUUCGCUAGUAAUCGCGCAUCAGCCAUGGCGCGGUGAAUACGUUCCCGGGCCUUGUACACACCGCCCGUCAAGCCAUGGGAGCCGGGGGCGCCUGAAGUCCGGGACCGCGAGGACCGGCCUAGGGCGAAACUGGUGACUGGGGCUAAGUCGUAACAAGGUAGC
This 266-nucleotide ribosomal RNA is filed under the name uncultured bacterium. RNAcentral describes it as "partial 16S ribosomal RNA". It matches the Rfam family "Bacterial small subunit ribosomal RNA", at positions 1226 to 1500 of the family's 1533-position model. The record is from RNAcentral.